GUCGGCGCGAGCGAAUGAGAACGCGCGCGGCCGAGCCGGCCAGCCAACCGCCGGACAGGGCGCGAGGCUCCCGGCGUCGCCAGGUGCUUUCCUGAGUCUCAGCUCACUUCAUCAGAUAUGUCUGAAAAUCAAAAUGAGACUCUGCUGUGGGGCAGGUUACAAGGCCUGAUCCCUUCAGAAGGAUGCUCAUUUCGACAUGUCUGACAAAGUUUAGGCUGAAAGUCCACCCAGUGAGUGCCCAUGAGCAGAGUGAAGAUUCGAACCGAGGCCUUCCAGAUACUGGUUUGACAGUCUUACCAACUGCUAUGCAUUGGCUCAGGAAAGUUCAUAUUGAAAUAAAUGUUGAAAUUUCUUAAA
This is a long non-coding RNA of Sphaerodactylus townsendi, 357 nucleotides long. RefSeq lists it as uncharacterized. Lineage: Eukaryota; Metazoa; Chordata; Lepidosauria; Squamata; Sphaerodactylidae. The record is from RefSeq and is a predicted model, not a curated record. The transcript is spliced from 3 exons.